Molecule: ribosomal RNA, 253 nt
Filed under: uncultured bacterium
Lineage: Bacteria
Description: partial 16S ribosomal RNA
Rfam family: Bacterial small subunit ribosomal RNA
Source: RNAcentral
UACGUAGGGGGCGAGCGUUGUCCGGAUUUACUGGGCGUAAAGAGCGCGGAGGCGGAAAUUUAAGCGUGGCCUGAAAGCCCCCGGCUCAACCGGGGAGUGCGGCUGCGAACUGGGUUUCUUGAGGACGAUAGAGGAGAGUGGAAUUCCUGGUGUAGCGGUGAAAUGCGUAGAUAUCAGGAGGAACACCCGAGGCGAAGGCGGCUCUCUGGGUCGUACCUGACGCUGAGGCGCGAAAGCGUGGGGAGCAAACAGG